Long non-coding RNA from Cavia porcellus (domestic guinea pig), 1935 nucleotides. The record is from Ensembl. Lineage: Eukaryota; Metazoa; Chordata; Mammalia; Rodentia; Caviidae.
GACGCGAGGAGUCUGUUUGAAAACGUCUGAGAGCAAGUCACACCGCAGCCGCGUGAACAAGUCUGCGCCACGCCCGGGGGCGGCUCGGCUGCGGGGGCGCACGGGGGCUUCCACGCGGAGCAGCCCCCUCUGCCGCUGCUGAGACCCGGUCCCUUCCCCGGGCACGCUGCAGACCCACCCCCCUCCCCCGCUUAAAUGCUGACGGGCGAGAAGAUGCAGCCGUUGGCAAAGAAAACACUGCGCCUGUGGUGUAUUGAGAAGUGGGAGAUUGCUCUUUGGUUUCCACCUGGAAGUCUCUUUUUUUUUUAAUAAAAGUCCUUUGACAGGACUGGGCUUGAGAUCCCUGAGAAGGUGGGACCAGACCAAGCUGGUGACAGGCAGAAACAGCCGGACCAGGCCUGAUGUGGUCAGGCCCUCUUUCUGGGAAUGUGCCUUUUCCUGUUCUCCUGCUAGGGUCAAACUGCUGGACUCACCAGAUGCAGUUUAAGGACUGACUCAACCUUUCCUACUAAGGCCCCUCACAAUAAACAACAGCAGAGAGCUUCCGCGCGGUGAUCACUGUGGACCCUCUGUGAUUCCUGGCAUCCCGGCUGGGUCCUUAGGGACCGCCACGUCAGCACGGUGUUGGGGUGCUCAGCUUUGUCGCCAUCAUGUCCUCUUAAGUCAUAGUCUGCCCUAGAAGUUUCCAGAGAUCUCCCACCACCAUGUGGAAAGCAGAUGUGUCACGGAGAAGUGGAACCCACUUGUGAGGAGAGACCAUCGUCUGUUGGCCACUUGCCUUUUCCCCAUCCUUUGUGCCAUCCUGUGCUGGUUUCCCUCCUCUCCUGUGCUCCCCCUGUCUGGCAGGGUGCUCAUCCCGGGCACGGCCCCUCGAGGACCCUCCACAUUGACUCCCCUGGCACAGCCAUGAAGCCGCCCAGCCCGGCCCGUGUCUGCCUCUCUGCUCUGCUCACCUGGAGGAAAGCACAGCCGUCCAUCCACAAGCCACGCCACUGUAAGUCCAGGUCAAAACUUAAAUCAUUGUGGAUCUUUCCUUUCCCCCUAACACCUGUGUGUUUGAUUUGUGUUCCUCCAAAUAUACCCAUUCUAUUCAUCACACCCUCAUUCAAGGUGUCCAUGGAACACUGUCACAGCUGCUGUCUGCACCUUCCGCUAAACAGCCAUAGUCUAAAGAUACCUAGGUAUCUGUUCACUUUCCAUCCUCAUGGAAAGUUCUUCCAACAUCCCACAGGCUGUGCCCGGCUCCCCAUCAUCUCUUUCCUACCCAUAUCAUUUCCUGCCAUUCUUUUCCUUGUUCUGCUUGGUCAGCCUCGUGGACCUUUGGGCUCAUCCCUGCCCUGCCAAGCACACUGGGUAACAGCGUCUCCCUGCUUACGUUCCACCUGCCUAAGACACUAUUCAGCUAUGUGACUGACUUUCACCUUCAUUUCAUUCAAAUCUCAGCUCAAAAAUGUCACUUUGUCAGAGAGGUAUGUUCUCUAUCCACCCACACAUCACUCUUUAUUCUUUUACUAUGCCCUGUAAUUUCUAUAUAACACUUCUAAUAUAGUAUAUAUUUUUUGAUUCCCUGUCUUUUCUCGCUUGAAUAUAAACUCACAGCAGCAGAGACCUUGCCUGCUUUGUCCACUAUUUUGUGUCAAAUACCUAGAACAUUAGAAUCUAUAGCAAAUGAUUGGAAAGCAGGCACCGGACUGAGAGUGCAAAUGUAGCCUUCUAAAUCCAUAAACCCUGAAGACUUAUUGUGAGCCAGGAUCUGUUCCUAGCACUGAAUCGAGACCAUCAUGCUAAGUGAAAUAAAUUGAACCCACGAGCUUAACUGUCAUGUGGUUUAUCUUCUAUGAGAAAUGCAAAUUAUAAAUAAAGGGCAAAAUAUAAGAUAGAUAACAGUAAGGAGGAGAUAGAUCUUUCCACUGGAGGGGAAUCAAGAGAUGGAGU